RNAcentral lists this ribosomal RNA (621 nucleotides) under uncultured bacterium. Its description in RNAcentral is "bacterial SSU rRNA". It matches the Rfam family "Bacterial small subunit ribosomal RNA", at positions 338 to 951 of the family's 1533-position model. The record is from RNAcentral.
CCUACGGGAGGCAGCAGUGGGGAAUUUUGGACAAUGGGGGCAACCCUGAUCCAGCCAUGCCGCGUGAGUGAAGAAGGCCUUCGGGUUGUAAAGCUCUUUCGGACGGAACGAAACGGGCGAGGCUAAUAACCUUGUCCACUGACGGUACCGUAAGAAGAAGCACCGGCUAACUACGUGCCAGCAGCCGCGGUAAUACGUAGGGUGCGAGCGUUAAUCGGAAUUACUGGGCGUAAAGCGUGCGCAGGCGGUUUUGUAAGCUGGAGGUGAAAUCCCCGGGCUUAACCUGGGAAUGGCCUUCAGGACUGCAAGGCUUGAGUACGGCAGAGGGAGGUGGAAUUCCACGUGUAGCAGUGAAAUGCGUAGAUAUGUGGAGGAACACCGAUGGCGAAGGCAGCCUCCUGGGCCAGUACUGACGCUCAUGCACGAAAGCGUGGGGAGCAAACAGGAUUAGAUACCCUGGUAGUCCACGCCCUAAACGAUGUCAACUAGGUGUUGGGGAAGGUGACUUCCUUAGUACCGCAGCUAACGCGUGAAGUUGACCGCCUGGGGAGUACGACCGCAAGGUUAAAACUCAAAUGAAAUUGACGGCUUGAGAGNGCGAGGCGACGACGAGGGAGGAGG